UACGUAGGGGGCUAGCGUUGUCCGGAAUCAUUGGGCGUAAAGAGCGUGUAGGCGGCCCGGUAAGUCCGCUGUGAAAGUCGGGGGCUCAACCCUCGAAAGCCGGUGGAUACUGUCGGGCUAGAGUACGGAAGAGGCGAGUGGAAUUCCCGGUGUAGCGGUGAAAUGCGCAGAUAUCGGGAGGAACACCAAUGGCGAAGGCAGCUCGCUGGGACGUGACUGACGCUGAGACGCGAAAGCGUGGGGAGCAAACAGG
Molecule: ribosomal RNA, 253 nt
Filed under: uncultured bacterium
Lineage: Bacteria
Description: partial 16S ribosomal RNA
Rfam family: Bacterial small subunit ribosomal RNA
Source: RNAcentral